Molecule: ribosomal RNA, 486 nt
Filed under: Rickettsiaceae bacterium
Lineage: Bacteria; Pseudomonadati; Pseudomonadota; Alphaproteobacteria; Rickettsiales; Rickettsiaceae
Description: bacterial SSU rRNA
Rfam family: Bacterial small subunit ribosomal RNA
Source: RNAcentral
CAUGGCUGUCGUCAGCUCGUGUCGUGAGAUGUUGGGUUAAGUCCCGCAACGAGCGAAACCCUCAUCCUUAUUUGCCAGCGGUUCGGCCGGGGACUAUAAGGAAACUGCCGGUGAUAAACCGGAGGAAGGUGGGGACGAUGUCAAGUCAUCAUGGCCCUUAUGGGUUGGGCUACACGCGUGCUACAAUGGUAUCUACAGAGGGACGCAAUACGGCAACGUGGAGCAAAUCCUCAAAAGAUAUCUCAGUUCGGAUUGGUCUCUGCAACUCGAGACCAUGAAGUCGGAAUCACUAGUAAUCGCGGAUCAGCAUGCCGCGGUGAAUACGUUCUCGGGCCUUGUACACACUGCCCGUCACGCCAUGGGAGUUGGUUUUACCUGAAGGUGGCAAGCUAACGUAAGAGGCAACCAACCACGGUAGAAUUAGCGACUGGGGUGAAGUCGUAACAAGGUAGCCGUAGGGGAACCUGCGGCUGGAUUACCUCCUUA